RNAcentral lists this small RNA (2740 nucleotides) under Plasmodium gaboni. Lineage: Eukaryota; Apicomplexa; Aconoidasida; Haemosporida; Plasmodiidae. The record is from RNAcentral.
UUUAUAUAAUAUAUUUUUUUUUUUUUUUUAUAUAUCAUUUUUCCUUUUUUUUACAUAUAAAGGUAGAAAAAAAUUUAUGAAAAUUGUAUUAUUUUAAUCUUUUACUAUAUUAUAUAUAUAGCGAAUAAAGGAUGGGAAUUUGAAUCCUUUUAAUAUUAUUUAUUUGUUUGUUUUUUUGUGUUUUAAUUUUUUUUUUUAAAUUUAUGAAAGAGGGAUAUGUAAUAUAUGUUUAAUAUAUAUAAUAUUUAUAGAAUACCCAUAUAUAUAUAUAUAUAUAUUUUUUUUUUUUUUUUUUUUUUUUUUUUUUUUUAUGUGUGUUUUUGUUUUCGUCCUAUUGAAAAUUUACACGGUGCGUAGUAUUAAAUUUUAUGUGUACAACAUGGAAUUUAUAAGUAUUAUAUAUUUAUAUUAAUAUAAUAUAUAUAUAUAUAUAUAUAUAUAUAUAUAUUUAAUAUUUUUGUAAUUUGUUUUAGAAUAAUAAAAAAUAAGAAAAUUACAAAUGCAGAAAAAUUUUACAAAUAAAUAUAUAGAAAGUGUAAAGCUUAUUAAUGUCAUUUAAUUUUAAAUAACAUAUAGUCACAUAUAUAUAUAUAUAUAAAUAUUUUUUACCAAAUAAAUAAAUGUAGCAAAUAUGUCUAAUAUAACAUCAAUUGUUUGUCUAUAAAUAUUUAAAAUAUUUAUUAUAUAUAUAUAUUAUAUGUAUUAUUUAUUUAUUUUCUUUUUUUAAGAAGAAUUAUUAAGUAUGUACCUUCUAUAAAAUGUAUAUAAUAAAGAGAAAAAAAUUUACCUGUACAAAAUAAAAUAUGUUCAUCUGUAAAAGGAUAAGUUUUUUUUUUUUUUUUUUUCUUUUGACCUUUUACAUAUUUCAUUGAAUUGAAAAAAAAAAAAAAAAAAGGAAAAGAAAAUAUAUACAUUAUUUAUAGAAACUACUAAAAAAGGAAACAGAAAAAAUUAUAUAACAAUAUAAUUUUUAUAAAAAUAUAAUAAAUAUAUAUAUAUAUUAAUAAAUUGGAUAACAAUUUUUAAACAUACACUUUUGACUUGUUGUUAUAUAUAAAUUUAGUUAUGUUCCCUUUUGUUUUUUUUUUUUUUUUUUUUUUUUUCUAAUAUAUAACAAGAUCAAAUUUAAAAUAUACAUAUAUAUAUAUAUAUAUAUAUAUGGAUGAAUGACCGAUAUAUAUUUUCCUUCUUUUUUGAGUAACCAUAUUUUAUAUAUCACUAUUAUGUUACUAUAAAUAUCAUUUUAUUAAAUGAUAUAUGAUUUUAAAAUAUUUUAUCAUAAAAAGAUUCAACCUUUAUUCGAAAAGAGAAAAUAAUAUAUAAAAAUAUAUUCAUAUAUAUAUAUAUAUAUAUAUAUUUCCUUUUUGUUAUAUAAUAUUUUAACAUUAUGUAAGGAAAAAAAAAAAAAAUAAUAAAAUAAUUACUUAAUAUAUAUUAUAUAUCAAUAUUAUGUAAUAAAACUCAUUUUAUUGUUUUAAAUAUAUUUGUCUAUCUUUCUCUUAGAAAAUAAGAUUUGUUGAUAUAUUAAUAAAGUCUAUACGUCUUAUUUAUUUUAUAUUAUAAAACACCAAUGAUAGUGUUCAUUCAUAUAGGAAAAGACCACAUUUUUAAGUAUACGUAUGAAAGUGUUAUUAUAUAAUUGUAUUAUAUAAUAUCUUAUUAUUUACAAAAACAAGGAAAAAAAAAAAAAAAAAAAAAAAAAAAAAAUAUAUAUAUAUAUAUAUAUAUAUAAUUAUAUAUUUUAUAAAUACAUGUCAUAUAUACUGUAUAUGUACGAAUUAAAAAAAAAAAAAAAAAAAAUAUAUAUAUAUAUAUAUAUAUAUAUAUAUAUAUAUAUAUAUAUUAGGUACAUACAUUUUUAUAUCCAAAUUUAUUUACGUACACAAAAAAGAAAAAAAAAAAAAAAAAAAAAAAAAAAAAAGAAUUAAUUUCCUUAAUAUUAUAAAAGUACAGUAAAAAUAUUGGUGUACAUACAAUUUAUGAAUACUACCCUUUUGUAUUUUAUAAAAAAAAAAAAAAAAAAAAAAAAAAAUAAAAUAAGAUAAUAAAAUGCAAUGGAAAAUAUCCAUAUAAUAAUACUUCAAUAAUUUUCCUCUUUGAAACAGACCAAAAUAUGUAUAUUUAAAUAAAAUAAUACAUAACCUUUUGUUCUUUUUAGAAAUAAAAAAUACAUAUCAUAUUAUUAUAUAUAACUUUUGUAGUACACCCUUAAGAGCUAUCAUGAAUAAAAAAAAAAAAAAGAAAAAGAAAAAGAAAUUACGGUAUAAAAAAAUAUAGAUAUAUAUAUAUAUAUAACAAUAUAUUAUUCUUGUAUUUUAAUUUUAAAAAAUUUUAAUAUAUGGUUCAAAUAUGUUAUUAUCAUUAAUUUUACUUUAUAUAUAUUCUAAAAGGAUAAUUUCUUUUAUUUAAUAAUAUUCCUUUCUAAAGAGCUCACAUAAAAAUAAUAUUAUAAUAUAUAUAUAAAUAUAUUUAUGUUAUGAUUAGAAAAUCUAAAACACUUUAUUGUACUAUAUUAUAAUAUAUAUAAUAAUUUAAAAGAAGCACUUACUUUUUAUAUAUAUUAAUAUAAAUAUAUUUUUCCUAUUUUUUAUUAUGCUUUACAAUAAUAUAUAAAAAAAAAAAAAAAUUAUAUAUAUAUAUAUAUAUAUAUAAUUGUUAGUUUUAAUAUGCCUUAAACUUUUUCUUACGUAUUUUUUUAAAUGGAACAAAAUCGUCUCAAAAGAAAAAAAAAAAAAAAAGA